CGGCGUGUAGCGCAGCCUGGUAGCGCACUUGCAUGGGGUGCAAGGGGUCGCGAGUUCGAAUCCCGCCCCGCCGACCA
RNAcentral lists this transfer RNA (77 nucleotides) under Paenacidovorax caeni. Its description in RNAcentral is "tRNA-Pro". It matches the Rfam family "tRNA". Rfam says of the family: Transfer RNA (tRNA) molecules are approximately 80 nucleotides in length. Their secondary structure includes four short double-helical elements and three loops (D, anti-codon, and T loops). Further hydrogen bonds mediate the characteristic L-shaped molecular structure. tRNAs have two regions of fundamental functional importance: the anti-codon, which is responsible for specific mRNA codon recognition, and the 3' end, to which the tRNAs corresponding amino acid is attached (by aminoacyl-tRNA synthetases). tRNAs cope with the degeneracy of the genetic code in two manners: having more than one tRNA (with a specific anti-codon) for a particular amino acid; and 'wobble' base-pairing, i.e. permitting non-standard base-pairing at the 3rd anti-codon position. RNAcentral also lists the same sequence under 1 other name. Lineage: Bacteria; Pseudomonadati; Pseudomonadota; Betaproteobacteria; Burkholderiales; Comamonadaceae. The record is from RNAcentral.